CAGCAGCCGCGGUAAUACGAAGGGGGCUAGCGUUGUUCGGAUUUACUGGGCGUAAAGCGCACGUAGGCGGAUCGUUAAGUCGGGGGUGAAAUCCUGGAGCUCAACUCCAGAACUGCCUUCGAUACUGGCGAUCUUGAGUCCGGAAGAGGUGAGUGGAACUCCUAGUGUAGAGGUGGAAUUCGUAGAUAUUAGGAAGAACACCAGUGGCGAAGGCGGCUCACUGGUCCGGUACUGACGCUGAGGUGCGAAAGCGUGGGGAGCAAACAGGAUUAGAUACCCCCGUAGUCCCUGUCUCUUAUAC
Molecule: ribosomal RNA, 301 nt
Filed under: uncultured bacterium
Lineage: Bacteria
Description: partial 16S ribosomal RNA
Rfam family: Bacterial small subunit ribosomal RNA
Source: RNAcentral